Molecule: ribosomal RNA, 390 nt
Filed under: uncultured bacterium NIC011
Lineage: Bacteria; Pseudomonadati; Pseudomonadota; Gammaproteobacteria
Description: bacterial SSU rRNA
Rfam family: Bacterial small subunit ribosomal RNA
Source: RNAcentral
ACAUGCAAGUCGAGCGGGGAUAUGCUUCGGUGAUUGACCUAGCGGCGGACGGGUGAGUAAUACUUAGGAAUCUGCCUAUUAAUGGGGGACACAUCUCGAAAGGGAUGCUAAUACCGCAUACGCCCUACGGGGGAAAGCAGGGGAUCACUUGUGACCUUGCGUUAAUAGAUGAGCCUUAGUCGGAUUAGCUAGUUGGUGGGGUAAAGGCCUACCAAGGCGACGAUCUGUAGCGGUCUGAGAGGAUGAUCCGCCACACUGGGACUGAGACACGGCCCAGACUCCUACGGGAGGCAGCAGUGGGGAAUAUUGGACAAUGGGGGGAACCCUGAUCCAGCCAUGCCGCGUGUGUGAAGAAGGCCUUAUGGUUGUAAAGCACUUUAAGCGAGGAGG